This 288-nucleotide ribosomal RNA is filed under the name Beijerinckia sp. RNAcentral describes it as "partial 16S ribosomal RNA". It matches the Rfam family "Bacterial small subunit ribosomal RNA", at positions 1133 to 1420 of the family's 1533-position model. Lineage: Bacteria; Pseudomonadati; Pseudomonadota; Alphaproteobacteria; Hyphomicrobiales; Beijerinckiaceae. The record is from RNAcentral.
GGGCACUCUAGGGGGACUGCCGGUGAUAAGCCGAGAGGAAGGUGUGGAUGACGUCAAGUCCUCAUGGCCCUUACGGGCUGGGCUACACACGUGCUACAAUGGCGGUGACAAUGGGACGCGAAAGGGCGACCUUUAGCAAAUCUCAAAAAGCCGUCUCAGUUCGGAUUGUACUCUGCAACUCGAGUACAUGAAGGUGGAAUCGCUAGUAAUCGUAGAUCAGAACGCUACGGUGAAUACGUUCCCGGGCCUUGUACACACCGCCCGUCACACCAUGGGAGUUGGUUCUAC